AAACUGUGGUUAAGGAACUCGGCAAAAUACCCCCGUAACUUCGGGAGAAGGGGGGCCAUAGACCGUCAUACCCCAUGCGGGUGGCAGCGGUAGGUGGCCGCAGAGACCAGGGGGAAGCGACUGUUUACUAAAAACACAGGUCCGUGCGAAGUCGUAAGACGAUGUAUACGGACUGACGCCUGCCCGGUGCUGGAACGUUAAGGGGACCGGUUAGUCCGCAAGGGCGAAGCUGAGAACUUAAGCGCCAGUAAACGGCGGUGGUAACUAUAACCAUCCUAAGGUAGCGAAAUUCCUUGUCGGGUAAGUUCCGACCUGCACGAAUGGCGUAACGACUUCCCUACUGUCUCAACCACAGGCCCGGCGAAAUUGCACUACGAGUAAAGAUGCUCGUUACGCGCGGAAGGACGGAAAGACCCCGGGACCUUUACUAUAGCUUGACAUUGGUAUUCGAGUUCGAUUGUGUAGAAUAGGUGGGAGGCUUUGAAGCUGCGACGCCAGUCGUGGUGGAGCCAACUUUGAAAUACCACUCUGUUGAACUUGGGUAUCUAACUUCGGACCGUUAUCCGGUUCAGGGACAGUGUCUGGUGGGUAGUUUAACUGGGGCGGUUGCCUCCUAAAAUGUAACGGAGGCGCCCAAAGGUUCCCUCAACCUGGUUGGCAAUCAGGUGUUGAGUGUAAGUGCACAAGGGAGCUUGACUGUGAGACUGACAGGUCGAGCAGGGACGAAAGUCGGGACUAGUGAUCCGGCACCUGCAUGUGGAAGCGGUGUCGCUCAACGGAUAAAAGGUACCCCGGGGAUAACAGGCUGAUCUUCCCCAAGAGUCCAUAUCGACGGGAUGGUUUGGCACCUCGAUGUCGGCUCGUCGCAUCCUGGGGCUGGAGCAGGUCCCAAGGGUUAGGCUGUUCGCCUAUUAAAGCGGCACGCGAGCUGGGUUUAGAACGUCGUGAGACAGUUCGGUCCCUAUCCUCCGCGCGCGUAGGAGACUUGAGAAGAGCUGUCCCUAGUACGAGAGGACCGGGACGGACGAACCUCUGGUGUGCCAGUUGUCAUGCCAAUGGCACGGCUGGUUGGCCACGUUCGGACGGGACAACCUCUGAAAGCAUCUAAGCGGGAAGCUCACUUCAAGAUGAGGUCUCCCACCCCUUGAGGGUUAAGGCCCCCAGCUAGAUCACUGGGUUGAUAGGCCAGAGGUGUAAGCCUGGCAACAGGUUCAGCUGACUGGUACUAAUAGGCCGAGGACUUGACCA
This 1248-nucleotide ribosomal RNA is filed under the name metagenome. Its description in RNAcentral is "bacterial LSU rRNA". It matches the Rfam family "Bacterial large subunit ribosomal RNA", at positions 1696 to 2925 of the family's 2925-position model. The record is from RNAcentral.